GAGUCAUUGGGACUACGCGAUAAACCUAAAGGCGCAAUGAAAGUAAAGGCCCGCCUCGCGCGGGCCGAGGGAGGAUGGGUCCGUCCUAGGGCGGGCCCCGCACUCCCGGGGCGUCCCGUUCUCAUCGCGAGAAGAGGCGCACCCAGAGCGUACACGCUGGGACCCGAAAGAUGGUGAACUAUGCCUGGUCAGGACGAAGUCAGGGGAAACCCUGAUGGAGGUCCGUAGCGAUUCUGACGUGCAAAUCGAUCGUCGGAACUGGGUAUAGGGGCGAAAGACUAAUCGAACCUUCUAGUAGCUGGUUCCCUCCGAAGUUUCCCUCAGGAUAGCUGGCGCUCGCCUUUGCGAGUCUCAUUCGGUAAAGCGAAUGAUUAGAGGCAUUGGGGUCGAAACGGCCUCAACCUAUUCUCAAACUUUAAAUGGGUGAGAUCUCCGGCUUGCUUAAAGCAUGAAGCCGCGAGAAAUAAUUACACGGAUCGAGAGUGCCAAGUGGGCCACUUUUGGUAAGCAGAACUGGCGCUGUGGGAUGAACCAAACGCAGAGUUAAAGCGCCAAAAUCGACGCUUAUGGGACACCAUGAAAGGCGUUGGUAACUUAAGACAGCA
This 605-nucleotide ribosomal RNA is filed under the name Bubas bison. RNAcentral describes it as "eukaryotic LSU rRNA". It matches the Rfam family "Eukaryotic large subunit ribosomal RNA", at positions 688 to 1242 of the family's 3401-position model. Lineage: Eukaryota; Metazoa; Arthropoda; Insecta; Coleoptera; Scarabaeidae. The record is from RNAcentral.